UUUCCACUCUAUCCAUACCCUUCCAUUCUCUCAUCUCUUUAUCACUAUCGGAGAUGCUGUAGCGCAAUGCUCCAGACGCUACCACCGCAAUGGUAUAACUUCGAAGCAAACAUCACUACCACGGAUUUGAUAAGAAGACUACGAUGGCGGGUCCAUUAUUAGCAGCGACGAGUACUGCUGCUUUAUGGUGGUCUUGGAUCUCUGUGUCUGACACAAUGGGUGUGAAUCUGUGAUGGUGCGGUGUUCUGCAUUGGUGUGUAUGGUAUUGUCUGCGGUGGUUUGUGCAGUGAUAAUGCUAGUGGUGGUGGGUGCAGCAGCGAUGGUUUUAGGAUUUUAGGUUGGUUUCUUCCUUCGAUCUGCUUCAACGGAGCUUUGGAGGAUGCUCAGCCGAUUUUUUUAUGUGAUGUUUAGGGGAAUGCUCAGCCAAUGUUUUUGUUUUAGGUUGUGGGGUGGUAGUGUGGCGGUGCCAAUUUUAGUUUUUGUUUCUGUUUCUUUUGUGAGUUUCGGAUUGUAAGGUUGUGUUGGCGGUGUAACGUUGAAGUGGUUGUUUUUAUGUUUCUGUUUUGUUACAGAUUGUAAAGUAGUGUUGGCGAUGGGGUGGUUUUGAUGGUGAUGGUGGUCAUGUGGUGAUUGUGAGUCGUGGGUUUUGUUAAUUUGUACCCUAUAAUUUUAUAAUUUAUG
This 681-nucleotide long non-coding RNA is filed under the name Olea europaea subsp. europaea. The record is from RNAcentral. Lineage: Eukaryota; Viridiplantae; Streptophyta; Magnoliopsida; Lamiales; Oleaceae.